This 344-nucleotide unclassified non-coding RNA is filed under the name fungal sp. RNAcentral's name for it is "partial internal transcribed spacer region". The stretch from base 1 to 46 matches the Rfam family "Eukaryotic small subunit ribosomal RNA", at positions 1786 to 1831 of the family's 1831-position model. Lineage: Eukaryota; Fungi. The record is from RNAcentral.
AAGUCGUAACAAGGUUUCCGUAGGUGAACCUGCGGAAGGAUCAUUAUCACGUAUCCACGUAUAAACCAAUUCGUGAACUGUUUUACCCCACCUCUGGGCUAUGGCCGCUGUCAUUUGGACGCAUGAGUUCAUUGUAUGAUUAUGGACUCGUCCUUGGCAAUUAAGGCUGUUUCUUCAGAGCGUAUUAAUCAUACUUUAAUCAAUUAACCACUUGAACACUAUGUAAAUUUUCUUUGUUUGAACUGAUUUGUUUCUUACUCAGCGCUGUGUAAUAACGGCGCCGAGAAGAAAUCGAUUUACGAAACAAAAAAGAACAACUCUUAGCAACGGAUAUCUUGGUUCUC